AAAGCUUAAACAUGUGACAAUGUUUAGGAAAAAACACCACCUUAAAAUUCUCAGAAACUAAAAAGACUUUGUUACUAUUAUUUAAUUUUGUCCAUAGUUUAAGAUUGAAUAACUUUCUCAAUUGAAAAUGUUUGAGACAAACUUGCAGAAACCCACCUGCUGAUUUAACACCCAAGAUGAAGACAGUGAUGAUGGCCCCGACGGUUACAGUAAACUGGAGAGUGUCGGUCCAGACGACUGCCUUGAGCCCCCCUAUGGUGGUGUAAAAGAUGCAAACGGCACAAACAGCAGGGGCUAUCAGGUGGACGUCAAUCCCAGAAGCUAAUUUUUUUAUAGUGUAAUAAUUUUAAAAAAUUUUGCUACAAACCAGCUGAAAAGGCUAAAGCGGGGAUAUAGACCACGAUUGGUAGAUACAAAAAGACCGAAACUGCGUAAAGAAACGACGCAAAUGAUCGCGUCUUCUUAUCAAAGCGUCUCUCCAAAUACUCAUAAGUGCUGAUAAUUUGCAGAUUGUAAAAAACUGGUAAGUAGACGUAGAUUGUCACUACGCAAAGAAUGGCCAUUGAGAUGCCCCCUAACCAAUAGGCGGCUCCAUAUCGGUAAAUAUCGGCCGGAAGUGCAAGAAGAGUAAUCCCGGAAGUGUGACUGGAAAUAGCAAUUGGUAUAACCCUCAUAGUUUUUCCUCCCAUGAGGUACUCAUUAGCGCUCGAUUGCUUACUCCCAAAGCAACCGAAAUAAAUCCCGAUUAAAGCACUUAGGACCAACAUGACCGAAAACAGGAUAUAGUCAUACCAGGAAAAACUGACUUUAGACAGUCUGGAAACUGUCUGGAUCAGAGUUGUAGUUGUUGAAGAUUCCAUUCUUGCACUGGGAGAUUACAAAUGGGGAAAUUCACAUAAAUGGGAUCUGAAUCAAGGAGAUAAUACCGGUUUGUUUGAUUUUGGGUAAAGAGUUUAAGUCUAAUUUAAAUAUGACUGAUAAUAAUAUACUAACAACGUCUUUUUUCCUAUUAUCAUUCAAAAAAAUAUAUAUUUGUGUUGACUGGGUGAAGUUUUGUUAAAAAAAGUGUUUCUGUUUGUUUUCAUAAUUUAAAAAAAAAGGAAAAUUUGAUUUUGUUGUAAUUAGAUCUUACACAAUUUUAUUUAGGGGCAUUGAAAUUUUUGGAGAUUAAAAUGAUUUAUGUUUUAUUGUUAAGAAGAAUAAAUAUGUCAAAGUUAUGCUUAGCAUUUCGACGUCAUGACACGCGACUAAAAGGAUAUUUACUUGAACCAAUAAAAUUUUAAAUUUACCGAAGGAAUUAAUUUGUGACGUUAAUUAGUCAAUGUAACGCAAAGGAAGUGUGUUAAAAACGUGAUAAUUGCAUUUAAAGCAAAUUUUUCAAAAAAAUUACCAAUUCUUCUAAAAAAAAUUUUUUUUGGAUAAUAUAACCAACCAUUCUGAUUUAGACCAAACAUGUUUGGGUUUAUAUUGUCUUGUUCUGUUUUUUAUAUCCUGAUUUAUCUCGAUUUAAGAACCAACGGACCUAAGUGUGCUGUUUUUGAAAUUUUUAUUUGUAGCAAAAAAGGGUUAAAAAGUUUUCUUGUGUAUCUUAAUUAAAAGUCGUCAUUUUAAAUGUACUCAUUACGUUUGGUCUUCUCAAAAAAAAAAUUAACUGAA
Long non-coding RNA from Tribolium madens (black flour beetle), 1656 nucleotides. RefSeq lists it as uncharacterized. The record is from RefSeq and is a predicted model, not a curated record. NCBI's taxonomy places the organism in Eukaryota, Metazoa, Arthropoda, Insecta, Coleoptera, Tenebrionidae. The transcript is spliced from 3 exons.